Molecule: non-coding RNA, 237 nt
Organism: Pelobates cultripes (western spadefoot toad)
Lineage: Eukaryota; Metazoa; Chordata; Amphibia; Anura; Pelobatidae
Source: the annotation of a GenBank genome assembly
CUCGACUACAUUAGCUCGUUGGAUUAAGAAUCUUCUAUCCGCUGCAGGAAUCGAUACUUAAAUAUUUUCGGCUCAUUCGGUCAGAGGCGCCAUGGCGUCUAAGGCCUCCACGAUGGGAUGUCGUCUGGAUGAUAUCUUGAAGGCAGCGGAUUGGUCUAGGGAAUCUACGUUCCGUGACUUUUAUUUCCGCCCGAUUGACCAUGUUUCUUUGUUAGUUGUGGCUCAGCUUUAAACUGG